Helianthus annuus (common sunflower) is the source of this 530-nucleotide long non-coding RNA. RefSeq lists it as uncharacterized. The transcript has 2 exons. NCBI's taxonomy places the organism in Eukaryota, Viridiplantae, Streptophyta, Magnoliopsida, Asterales, Asteraceae. The record is from RefSeq and is a predicted model, not a curated record.
CUCCCCAUAUUUCCCACUUUUAAAAUUUAACUGCUUGUUCUAUUAAUUUCCGUCGUGCAUCUUUUUUAGCCCUAAAUCUGUUUCCGUCCCCAAUAAUCGAAUGCGAUGGACAACUUGUGAGGUUUGGAUGAUUCUCUAAGGUGAUUUGAUCGUAGUCGCUCACCGCUAUAGCCGCUACCACUUUGAGCGAUGGAUGAUUCUCUCUCUAUCUCUUCUUGUCCACGCACUAACAUCGCAUCCCCGAAGGAAAAUUCUAUGGUUCCGAUUGCAAGUAUGGAUUGAAGACGCCCAUUUGGUUUGAAAGUAUGAAGACAUCGGUUCCGGAAAUUGUAUAUCACUUUUAUCUUUAGAGUUAUAUGCAUUUGUGUUACUUUAAAACUUUUGUAAUACUAGGUAUUUCAACCGCGCGUUGCGGCGGAGAAAAUUUUCCUUCUCGGAGGAAAAUAAGGUUGAAUAGGCAGAGUGGAUGUCAUUCUCUUGAUGUAGAAUAACUUUAGAUUACAAAAAUUAUAAACCACUCUUUUGACGCA